RNAcentral lists this ribosomal RNA (253 nucleotides) under uncultured bacterium. Its description in RNAcentral is "partial 16S ribosomal RNA". It matches the Rfam family "Bacterial small subunit ribosomal RNA", at positions 524 to 776 of the family's 1533-position model. The record is from RNAcentral.
UACGUAGGGGGCAAGCGUUGUCCGGAUUUAUUGGGCGUAAAGAGCGUGUAGGCGGCCAUACAGGUCAGCUGUGAAAACUCGAGGCUCAACCUCGAGACGUCGGUUGAAACCGUAUGGCUAGAGUCCGGAAGAGGAGAGUGGAAUUCCCGGUGUAGAGGUGAAAUUCGUAGAUAUUGGGAAGAACACCGGUGGCGAAGGCGGCGACCUGGUCCAUUACUGACGCUGAGGCGCGACAGCGUGGGGAGCAAACAGG